UACGGAGGAUGCAAGCGUUAUCCGGAUCUAUUGGGUUUAAAGGGUGCGCAGGUUGUUUGAUAAGUCAGUGGUGAAAGUCUGUCGCUUAACGGUAGGAUUGCCAUUGAUACUGUUAGACUUGAAUAUGGAUGAGGUAGGCGGAAUGUGUAGUGUAGCGGUGAAAUGCAUAGAUAUUACACAGAACACCGAUUGCGAAGGCAGCUUACUAAUCCAUCAUUGACGCUGAGGCACGAAAGCGUGGGGAUCAAA
This 249-nucleotide ribosomal RNA is filed under the name uncultured prokaryote. RNAcentral describes it as "partial 16S ribosomal RNA". It matches the Rfam family "Bacterial small subunit ribosomal RNA", at positions 524 to 772 of the family's 1533-position model. The record is from RNAcentral.